RNAcentral lists this small RNA (172 nucleotides) under uncultured Prevotella sp. RNAcentral's name for it is "Bacteroidales-1 6S-Bacteroidales RNA suggested". It matches the Rfam family "Bacteroidales-1 6S-Bacteroidales RNA suggested". The record is from RNAcentral. Lineage: Bacteria; Pseudomonadati; Bacteroidota; Bacteroidia; Bacteroidales; Prevotellaceae.
GCCGUAUCGGUUCGAUCGGGAUACUCAUCAAAUAACAAUGAAAACCGGGCUGUCUUCUUUUGCCAAUGGCGGGCCACUAACCAAGCGUUACCCAUAAUGCCAGUGGAUUACAAAGGCGAAGAGCACCCAUAACCUGUGAUAAAGGAGUUUUCAUCACAUCACCCUUAUGGCC